ACCAGAGUUAGCUUUAAAGGCUAACCUUGCAUUAACUGACAGAAAACUAUAAAGAGACAAAGCACUUAAGGAAAUAAAACAAGAUUAAUUUCCACCUUCAUAACAUCAUCCAUUUGGAUUUUGUUAAAGUUUAGUCACUUAAAAGCUAGCUGGCUACCUGCUAGGCCUCAGCUAACUGGAGCCCCUGACCUAAACCUCUGGACCAUUUUUGUCAGGUGUGUCCCAGACUGUGCUGAAUCCAUCCAUCCAUCCAUCCAUCCAUCCAUCCAUCCUCUGCUGCUGAAUCCAGCAAAAUGUGGCUGUAUCAGGUCAAAGAAGCACGUCAUAAUUGGACCUGUUUGCCUGAAACGCCAGAGAUGAGGGGAGGCUCCCGAGAUCUCUGACCAUCAGACUUCACUUCCAGCUUUAAAAUAUGUCAUCCACUCUCUCAGAGAGGAGAGUAGGCCAGAGGGCGGUGGCGAUGGAGGGUGUUUGGGGGGUGCCCCGUGUUGUUUGGGGUCAGCAUGUUUGGAGGUUUCUGCCUUUGUUUAAAUCCCAUCAAGUGUGAAAAACAGGGGCAGGCCUGAGGCCCUCUGCAUCCUCUCCCAGCCCCACCGGAUCAUCCCACUAAAUCCGAACGCCAUUAAAGGAAACAUUAACCUUUCAGUUUGACAGUUCGCACUCACACAGGCAGGUCGGCUGACACAAACAAGUAAUUUACACUUUUAUAGUUUGGUGAAGCCCCGAGAGAUUCGAGGGUGGAAAAAGCAUCAUUUCUUGCCUCCAUCAACACCUAAACAAGUGGUUAACAGCGAUGUUUCUGCACCCUCAGAGAGUGCGGUGUCAGGCUGUGAUUAACAAACAUCUCCUGGAACAGUA
This is a long non-coding RNA of Archocentrus centrarchus (flier cichlid), 858 nucleotides long. RefSeq lists it as uncharacterized. Lineage: Eukaryota; Metazoa; Chordata; Actinopteri; Cichliformes; Cichlidae. The record is from RefSeq and is a predicted model, not a curated record. The transcript has 3 exons.